Molecule: ribosomal RNA, 324 nt
Filed under: Clostridium botulinum
Lineage: Bacteria; Bacillati; Bacillota; Clostridia; Eubacteriales; Clostridiaceae
Description: bacterial SSU rRNA
Rfam family: Bacterial small subunit ribosomal RNA
Source: RNAcentral
ACGUGCUACAAUGGCUGGUACAAAGAGAUGCAAUACCGCGAGGUGGAGCUAAACUAUAAAACCAGUCUCAGUUCGGAUUGUAGGCUGAAACUCGCCUACAUGAAGCUGGAGUUGCUAGUAAUCGCGAAUCAGAAUGUCGCGGUGAAUACGUUCCCGGGCCUUGUACACACCGCCCGUCACACCAUGAGAGUUGGCAAUACCCAAAGUUCGUGAGCUAACCCGUAAGGGAGGCAGCGACCUAAGGUAGGGUCAGCGAUUGGGGUGAAGUCGUAACAAGGUAGCCGUAGGAGAACCUGCGGCUGGAUCACCUCCUUUCUAUGGAGA